RNAcentral lists this ribosomal RNA (681 nucleotides) under Triticum aestivum (bread wheat). Its description in RNAcentral is "partial small subunit ribosomal RNA". Lineage: Eukaryota; Viridiplantae; Streptophyta; Magnoliopsida; Poales; Poaceae. The record is from RNAcentral.
AUGCCAAGCAGCCUCCAAGCCCUUGGGCGCAACCUUCCACUCCACCGGUCCAAGAAAGCGAGCUAUAUACUGUCGUGCAAGGCCACCGAUGGCCGCCGUGACGUGCUCCUCCGCCUCGCGGGCGGAGUUGCGACGGCGGGCCUGUCCGAGCUCCGUGGCGCACUUGCGAAGCCCAUCCAGUCCCCGGACUUUGGCAAGUGCCAGCCAAUCGAUGAUCCCGACAAGAUUCCCCAAGUAAAAGACACCAUGUGCUGCCCCAAGUACGACGACAGAAUCCCAAUCCCCGACUUCAAGCUGCCCCCGCUCUCAUCGCCGCUCCGUGUUCGGCCAGCGGCCCACCUGGUAGACCGCAACUACCUCGCUAAGUAUGAGAAAGCCGUGAAGCUCAUGAAGGAGCUGCCCGAUGAUGAUCCCCGCAGCUUCUCGCAGCAGUGGCACGUGCACUGCGCAUACUGCGAGGGCGCAUAUGAACAGAUCGGCUACCCGAAACUGAAGAUCGAUAUACACAGGUCCUGGCUCUUCUUCCCAUGGCACAGGUUGUACCUCUAUUUCUACGAGAGGAUCCUUGGUAAUCUCAUCGACGACGACACCUUUGCACUGCCGUUUUGGAACUGGGACGCGCCCCACGGCAUGACCCUCCCGGUGAUGUACACCGAUGAUUGCUGGUGCCAAGAAGACUGA